UGGGGAAUAUUGGACAAUGGGCGAAAGCCUGAUCCAGCCAUGCCGCGUGGAUGAAGAAGGCCCUAGGGUUGUAAAGUCCUUUCGGUGGUGAAGAUAAUGACGGUAACCACAUAAGAAGCCCCGGCUAAUUUCAUGCCAGCAGCCGCGGUAAUACGAAAGGGGCUAGCGUUGUUCGGAAUUACUGGGCGUAAAGCGCACGUAGGCGGCCUUGUAAGUUAGGGGUGAAAUCCCCGGGCUCAACCCGGGAACUGCCUCUAAGACUGCAAAGCUAGAGGACGCGAGAGGUUAGCGGAAUUCCGAGUGUAGAGGUGAAAUUCGUAGAUAUUCGGAAGAACACCAGUGGCGAAGGCGGCUAACUGGCGCGUUUCUGACGCUGAGGUGCGAAAGCGUGGGGAGCAAACAGG
This 404-nucleotide ribosomal RNA is filed under the name uncultured bacterium. RNAcentral describes it as "bacterial SSU rRNA". It matches the Rfam family "Bacterial small subunit ribosomal RNA", at positions 355 to 776 of the family's 1533-position model. The record is from RNAcentral.